This is a long non-coding RNA of Oncorhynchus keta (chum salmon), 585 nucleotides long. RefSeq lists it as uncharacterized. The transcript has 4 exons. The record is from RefSeq and is a predicted model, not a curated record. Lineage: Eukaryota; Metazoa; Chordata; Actinopteri; Salmoniformes; Salmonidae.
UAUCAGUCCUACUGGUGUUAUCUCCUCCAGCUCUGCUGCUAUCUGAUCCCUGGGAUUACCAUGACUACUACAGGAUCUGUUAAGGAGGUCUGGGAUUACAAUGACUACUACAGGAUCUGUUAAGGAGGUCUGGGAUUACCAUGACUACUACAGGAUCUGUUAAGGAGGUCUGGGAUUACCAUGACUACUACAGGAUCUGUUAAGGAGGUCUGGGAUUACAAUGACUACUACAGGAUCUGUUAAGGAGGUCUGGGAUUACCAUGACUACUACAGGAUCUGUUAAGGAGGUCUGGGAUUACCAUGACUACUACAGGAUCUGUUAAGGAGGUCUGGGAUUACAAUGACUACUACAGGAUCUGUUAAGGAGGUCUGGGAUUACCAUGACUACUACAGGAUCUGUUAAGGAGGUCUGGGAUUACAAUGACUACUACAGGAUCUGUUAAGGAGGUCUGGGAUUACCAUGACUACUACAGGAUCUGUUAAGGAGGUCUGGGAUUACAAUGACUACUACAGGAUCUGUUAAGGAGGUCUGGGAUUACAAUGACUACUACAGGAUCUGUUAAGGAGGUCUGGGAUUACAAUGAC